This 342-nucleotide ribosomal RNA is filed under the name Stagonosporopsis cucurbitacearum. RNAcentral describes it as "eukaryotic LSU rRNA". The stretch from base 1 to 122 matches the Rfam family "5.8S ribosomal RNA", at positions 33 to 154 of the family's 154-position model. The record is from RNAcentral. Lineage: Eukaryota; Fungi; Ascomycota; Dothideomycetes; Pleosporales; Didymellaceae.
UCGAUGAAGAACGCAGCGAAAUGCGAUAAGUAGUGUGAAUUGCAGAAUUCAGUGAAUCAUCGAAUCUUUGAACGCACAUUGCGCCCCUUGGUAUUCCAUGGGGCAUGCCUGUUCGAGCGUCAUUUGUACCUUCAAGCUCUGCUUGGUGUUGGGUGUUUGUCUCGCCUCUGCGCGCAGACUCGCCUCAAAACGAUUGGCAGCCGGCGUAUUGAUUUCGGAGCGCAGUACAUCUCGCGCUUUGCACUCACAACGACGACGUCCAAAAAGUACAUUUUUACACUCUUGACCUCGGAUCAGGUAGGGAUACCCGCUGAACUUAAGCAUAUCAAUAAGCGGAGGAAA